RNAcentral lists this ribosomal RNA (1020 nucleotides) under Alternaria perpunctulata. RNAcentral describes it as "SSU rRNA". It matches the Rfam family "Eukaryotic small subunit ribosomal RNA", at positions 75 to 1104 of the family's 1831-position model. Lineage: Eukaryota; Fungi; Ascomycota; Dothideomycetes; Pleosporales; Pleosporaceae. The record is from RNAcentral.
UAUACCGUGAAACUGCGAAUGGCUCAUUAAAUCAGUUAUCGUUUAUUUGAUAAUACCUUACUACUUGGAUAACCGUGGUAAUUCUAGAGCUAAUACAUGCUGAAAAUCCCGACUUCGGAAGGGAUGUGUUUAUUAGAUAAAAAACCAAUGCCCUUCGGGGCUUUUUGGUGAUUCAUGAUAACUUUACGGAUCGCAUAGCCUUGCGCUGGCGAUGGUUCAUUCAAAUUUCUGCCCUAUCAACUUUCGAUGGUAAGGUAUUGGCUUACCAUGGUUUCAACGGGUAACGGGGAAUUAGGGUUCGAUUCCGGAGAGGGAGCCUGAGAAACGGCUACCACAUCCAAGGAAGGCAGCAGGCGCGCAAAUUACCCAAUCCCGACACGGGGAGGUAGUGACAAUAAAUACUGAUACAGGGCUCUUUUGGGUCUUGUAAUUGGAAUGAGUACAAUUUAAACCUCUUAACGAGGAACAAUUGGAGGGCAAGUCUGGUGCCAGCAGCCGCGGUAAUUCCAGCUCCAAUAGCGUAUAUUAAAGUUGUUGCAGUUAAAAAGCUCGUAGUUGAAACUUGGGCCUGGCUGGCGGGUCCGCCUCACCGCGUGCACUCGUCCGGCCGGGCCUUCCUUCUGAAGAACCUCAUGCCCUUCACUGGGCGUGCUGGGGAAUCAGGACUUUUACUUUGAAAAAAUUAGAGUGUUCAAAGCAGGCCUUUGCUCGAAUACGUUAGCAUGGAAUAAUAAAAUAGGGCGUGCGUUUCUAUUUUGUUGGUUUCUAGAGACGCCGCAAUGAUUAACAGGAACAGUCGGGGGCAUCAGUAUUCAGUUGUCAGAGGUGAAAUUCUUGGAUUUACUGAAGACUAACUACUGCGAAAGCAUUUGCCAAGGAUGUUUUCAUUAAUCAGUGAACGAAAGUUAGGGGAUCGAAGACGAUCAGAUACCGUCGUAGUCUUAACCGUAAACUAUGCCGACUAGGGAUCGGGCGAUGUUCUUUUUCUGACUCGCUCGGCACCUUACGAGAAAUCAAAGU